This is a long non-coding RNA of Bombyx mori (domestic silkworm), 1029 nucleotides long. RefSeq lists it as uncharacterized. The transcript is spliced from 2 exons. The record is from RefSeq and is a predicted model, not a curated record. NCBI's taxonomy places the organism in Eukaryota, Metazoa, Arthropoda, Insecta, Lepidoptera, Bombycidae.
AUAUUAAACGUUAUACAUGUCAGCCCGACUUUUUUUUUGUUUUGUAGACAGACGAGCAUACGGCCCACCUGAUGGCAAGUGGUCACCGUCGCUCAUGGACGCCAGCAAUGCCAAGGGCAGAGCCAAGCCGCUGCCUACCAUUAAAUUUGUCACGCUUGUAUCACUCUUGUUAGAGCCGUCGUGAUCGUCAUCCAGCAGCAUUGCUGUGGGCAGAUGUUAUGCGCCCCACGAGCAAUCGCCACUCCUCCCGGUUUGUGGAGCCUGGUACACUCAUGCAAACAGUCGCCAAUUGCUGACUUGAUUAGGUCGGUCCAUCGCAUGGGCUUCCCACGCGAUCUGGUGCCUUCUACUUUGCCCUGAACGACAAGGCGCUCGCUCAUAGGGAAGGGUUGCUCGCUCCAGGCAUUUCAAUAUUGUAGUAAUUGUUACGUUAUAAUACUCAUUGUAAAAAAUUCAUAUUUAAAAAAAAAUCUAAUAUUAAAAAAAAUAAUAAUAAUAAUUUUAUACUUAAAAAAAAAAGACAUGCCCGCCGAGUUUCUUGCCAAUUCUUCUCAGGACGGAGGCUAGUUCUUGUGAAUUGGCGGUAGUUUUUUUGACGUUCAACAAGUAUGUACUUUCAUUUAUGUUGAAUUUUUUUUUUUUUUAUUUGAUUUGAUUUGAUAGUCAUUUCAAAAGUCUAAAACUGAGGCCUUCGAUUGAUUGAUAGGACCAUUCUAAAUCCUUAGAAUAAUUACACAUAGAAACCGAGUCCGCCUCCGUAAAGUGAGGCAACUCAAACCUAGCCAUAUUGGCUAAGUUCAUUAUUCGGCCCAUCAGUGCUCAAGGACGUGUCGUAUUGAAAAGUACUCCCGAAAAUUUUAUUAAAAAUGACGGUUUGUUCAAUGAACGGAUGUCAUAGUACAUCGGAAAAACACAAGAAAGAUAGUAACAUUACAUUUCACGGGUUUCCUUCCUAUCAUCGAAGCGACAAUUGUUCAGAAAACAGUUUCAGUUGUUACAAGGCUACUGAAAUAAAUAAUUAUACUUGUU